Molecule: small RNA, 2606 nt
Filed under: Rattus norvegicus (Norway rat)
Lineage: Eukaryota; Metazoa; Chordata; Mammalia; Rodentia; Muridae
Description: uncharacterized LOC108352157
Source: RNAcentral
UCUCUGUCUCCCUCCUCUGCUCUGCCUUCUUCAAACAGGCAGCCUGUCACUGCGCAGAAAUGCUUAAAAACAAACAAACAAACAAAACCCAAGCCAGAGGAAGCCACCUUCAACCCAGGUCUGGCAGACAAGGGAUUGUUUCAGCACCCACCUGGCUUUUAUUGGGGAAAAAUAAAAUACUUAUUACGGGGAAUAAGGUUGGCCUUCGGAUAAAGAAUGGAACUGUGGCUCAGAGCGUGGCUGGGCCCUGGGGAUGAGGCCGUGAAUUCCCACAAGGGAGACACAAGUGAUUUAUGUUUCAUGCGCACAGCUCGGGGACUAAUGGAGACUGGGAUCUAUAAUUAGGCAGCCACUGCAAUUACUUCAAAUUCCUACCCUUUCUUACCCCCUCCACAGGCUUGUCUUCCCAAUAAGCAAUUGCCUGAACCCUGGAGGCACGAGGUUAGAGAGGGAAGGAAGGGCUUAGAAGUUACAUGCCCGCCUAUGAAGGUCCCUGCCUCUGCCUAGGAAAACAUCUCCUCUCUCCUGGGGAUGGGAAGGGAAGGAAAAAACCCAGUGUGAAUAAUUACAAACACUUGUCUGUCAUUCUUUCCUAAGCUUUUUGAUUGACGUUCGCGCGUUUUGAUCCUUGCAACGACUUCUGCUUGGUCCAUAGGAUUCCACCCACAAAGGAGGAACUGAGGCCCGGAGCCCAUCCCCAAGAAUACAUGGCUAGAGAGGAACAAUUUUGAUUUCAUCCAUAUCUAUCAAGAUUGUCUGAAUUCAGAAGAUCAAGCAAAGAGAAGUCAUCAAAUAAAUAAGGAGCUUGCUGCAUAAUCACGAGGACCUGUAUCCAGAUCCCUAGCAUGAGCUCGUACGCAAAAGGCUGGGGCCAGUGAGAUGGAUCAGUGGGUAAAGGUGUCUGUCACCUAGCCUGACAACCUGUUCAGUCCCCAGAAAGGAGAAAAGCCUAUUCCUGCCAGCCCUUCCGACUUCCACACACAGUUACCUGUUUGCCUUCCCUGCUUUCUACACACCCAUAAAAAGACGCUAAUGAGCAUGCCCAGGGGAACACUGGGAACCAGAGUGCUAAAGACGAUGAAGAAGGCCGGCUCUGAGAAAUUUCUGGAAUGAGCAUCGGGGAUUUCAGAUGCUCCAGAGACCUCACCUAACAGGAGGAGGAGGACACACCCUGCAAACCUUGUCAUCUCUUGCUUGGAUGCUCUCCGGGAGGAGCUGUGCAAACCACAGGCAAGUGACAGGCAAGUAACCCCAGCAUCCAGCCUUGGGCCCCUUAGCCCUAGCCUCCAGGACCUGGAGGCGAUUUCCUGGUCAGACCUGAGGCACACAGACCCCCUUAUGAGGUUUUCCAUGCCACCUCUCUGGGCAGCUCUGGCAGGCCAGCAUGACUCCCUGGGGCUGCAUAAUUAGCAGGCCUCGAGUCACCAGGCCUGGUAUGCUGUGGUUGCCCCCAGGCCCCCUUCUCAGUGGCGCCACUUCUGCCUCACUGUGCACACACAACCCGCCCUACCCCUCCCCUCCCCCAUGCCACCUCACCAAGCUUGGGUCCCCACACUCUGCACUGCAGUUCCACACCGGGCCACCCUCAUCCUGACAUGUCUCCUCAUCUGCUGGUACAGGACAGAGUGGGCCUGCACGGUGCCUGCUGUCACCACCUCGAAGCCAAACGUUGUCUCAGCUCAUUUAGAGACUUCCCAAGAGGGGCUGGAAAGAGAGGUCUAAAGAGCACGAAGAAUCUCUGUCCAUCAAUCUGAAGUGGGCUUCUCUCCCUUAUCAACAUCCACCCUUGGAAGGUAAGGUUCGAAGAGAUCAUUCAGUCCAUGCCCCUGCCUUUGGGAUGACUGUCUGACUCCAGAGGGCUGACACACAACCUCCCCUGAACUAAAGUACUACUGGGAGCCGAACCCGGAGAAGUUGACAGUGUGAGCUUUCACUGUAACAGGACCCACACAGUCAAGCAUUCUCCUCCUGUCUCCUCUCGGCCUCGGGGCUGCUCCUCUCAGGCCAGGCUGACACCUUCCUUUCAGCCAAACCCACACGAUGCCUUCUUUGAGCCAGCCUGCCAAGAGCCAGAGACAUACACACACCCGUUGCUGGGAUUUCCAUUUUAAGGACCAGGCGUGAGGCAAACACUCCCUUUGUGCUCCAGAGCUGCACGUUCAGCUUCGCCGAGGGGAGGGAUUUUUUUUUCUCUUCAAGCAUAAUAAAAAAGUUCUAUGACUUUAAUUAAAUGCACUUAUUAAAAAAAGGGGGGGGUGAAACAUUUGGAGCGGCUGUUUCUGUGCUGGAGGCGUAUUGACUCUCCAGCAUGUUGGGGUGUCUGCAUCCGCCUGCUCUAGGACAUUUUUAAUGCAAAAAUAAAUCCGCACCUGACGUGCUGACAGAUUAUUAUGCAGUGUGGCAGCCAACAAAAGUAAACACAGGGGCAAGUUUUAACCUCUUGCAGGCCCAUCGUUUCCCCAUCGUUGGGUCCAGCUCAGGUGCGCAUACGGGACCAUGGCUGGCAAAGCCUUUUCUUACCACUUGGGCAUCCUCCUGUCCUAGAGCCCGUGCCUGGAAAUAGGAGGCUAUGAUUCCACCAGGCAGGCUGGGGAGGAGGGAGGGGC